This 229-nucleotide ribosomal RNA is filed under the name uncultured bacterium. Its description in RNAcentral is "partial 16S ribosomal RNA". It matches the Rfam family "Bacterial small subunit ribosomal RNA", at positions 568 to 796 of the family's 1533-position model. The record is from RNAcentral.
UACGUAGGCGGAAAAUUAAGUCAGUAGUGAAAUCCUGCAGCUUAACUGUAGAACUGUUAUUGAUACUGGUUUUCUUGAAUAUAGUUGAGGUAGGCGGAAUGUGUAAUGUAGCGGUGAAAUGCUUAGAUAUUACACAGAACACCGAUUGCGAAGGCAGCAUACUAAGCUAUGAUUGACGCUGAGGUACGAAAGCGUGGGGAGCGAACAGGAUUAGAUACCCUGGUAGUCC